UGCCUAUAAAUCUGCCGGGUAGAGGGGGAUUACGUUCCGAAAGGAAACUAAUACCGCAAACUUCCUACGGGAGAAAGCAGGGGACCUUCGGGCCUUGCGCUAUCAAAGAUGAGCCUAGGUCGGAUUAGCUAGUUGGUGAGGUAAUGGCUCACCAAGGCGACGAUCCGUAACUGGUCUGAGAGGAUGAUCAGUCACACUGGAACUGAGACACGGUCCAGACUCCUACGGGAGGCAGCAUUGGGGAAUAUUGGACAAUGGGCGAAAGCCUGAUCCAGCCAUGCCGCGUGUGUGAAGAAGGUCUUCGGAUUGUAAAGCACUUUAAGUUGGGAGGAAGGGCUGCUGGUUAAUACCCUGCAGUUUUGACGUUACCAACAGAAUAAGCACCGGCUAACUUCGUGCCAGCAGCCGCGGUAAUACGAAGGGUGCAGGCGUUAAUCGGAAUUACUGGGCGUAAAGCGCGCGUAGGUGGUUUUGUAAGUUGGAGGUGAAAUCCCCGGGCUCAACCUGGGAACUGCCUCCCAAACUGCAUGACUAGAGUACGGUAGAGGGUGGUGGAAUUUCCUGUGUAGCGGUGAAAUGCGUAGAUAUAGGAAGGAACACCAGUGGCGAAGGCGACCACCUGGACUGAUACUGACACUGAGGUGCGAAAGCGUGGGUAUCAAACCCGGAUGAGAUACCCUGGCACUCCACGUUCCAAACGAUGUCAACUAGCCGUUG
This 717-nucleotide ribosomal RNA is filed under the name Pseudomonas sp. NBM11. RNAcentral describes it as "bacterial SSU rRNA". It matches the Rfam family "Bacterial small subunit ribosomal RNA", at positions 114 to 825 of the family's 1533-position model. Lineage: Bacteria; Pseudomonadati; Pseudomonadota; Gammaproteobacteria; Pseudomonadales; Pseudomonadaceae. The record is from RNAcentral.